UGGUAUCUUCGUCGUGGAGUCAUUUUUACUAAAGAUAACCUUAUCAAGAGGAAUUGGCAUGAAAUUCCGCAAUGUGUUUUUUGUCAUCAUGAUGAGACAAUAAAACAUUUAUUCUUCCAAUGCAAAUUGCCUCGGUCUAUAUGGUCAGUCAUCCAGAUAGCUUCUAGCUUGUAUCUUCCUUCUAGUGUUGCUAAUAUAUUUGGCAACUGGUUACAUGGGAUUGAUCACAGGUUUAGAACUCUAAGGGUGGGAGUGCUUGUCAUUAUUUGGUCGCUUUGGUUGUGUAGAAAUGAUAAGGUUUUUAACGAUAAAAGUACUUCUCUAAUGCAGGUUAUCUACACAUGUACUGGGACUCUUCAUUUAUGGUCCUCUCUACAACACGUGGAGAAUUGA
RNAcentral lists this ribosomal RNA (393 nucleotides) under Triticum aestivum (bread wheat). RNAcentral's name for it is "partial small subunit ribosomal RNA". Lineage: Eukaryota; Viridiplantae; Streptophyta; Magnoliopsida; Poales; Poaceae. The record is from RNAcentral.